Molecule: long non-coding RNA, 1477 nt
Organism: Mesocricetus auratus (golden hamster)
Lineage: Eukaryota; Metazoa; Chordata; Mammalia; Rodentia; Cricetidae
Exons: 2
Source: RefSeq, a predicted model, not a curated record
ACUCGACAGCACAGCCCUGGUCAGCCGGACCUAACAGUGGGAAGAAGUUGUGUCUCGGAGUGGCAGCAUGAGACCGAGAAAAGAAGAGAGGCUGAGCCCAGAGCGCAAAAGUCCUGGCCUGCCCCACAAAGGCCCUGGGAUGCCACUCUGCACACAGAAGGAAACACGGGACUCACAUACGAGAGCAAGCUAAAAAGGAGACUUCCUUGUGGUGCACACCAGCCCCAGAGGGAAGAGUAAGAAAGGGGAACUCCCCCUGGCCCCAUGUUUUCCAGCCAAGCUGUGCCUGUCAGGACAAACAACGCCGAAAAUAAUCGCAGUUGCUUGCCACUCGGAAUAUUAUUAUCGGAACAGUUGGUGGAUAUGAACUGUUUUUAAAACAGGCUAUCAAAAUAAACCCAGAAAGAACAUCUGUGGGGCUGCGGGCUGCAAGUCUGCUGAGGAAGGAAGACAGGAAGCUGUCAGCAUCCCCCUUGGGUAUCUUCCCAGGCAAGGGGACCGCCCCAACCAUUAUCUGGGCUAGCUGGGGGUGGGGGCGGCACAGGGCUUACAUGAAAGAAAGACCAGGUUUGCAGAUAAUCUCUGAGAAAGACACAGAAAUCCAACUUUGGGAAACAAUGAUUUGAAGAACUCCAGACAGUAGGGAGGCCCAGGUACCCCUCAUUCCAUCAGAACUUGGGGCCUGGGUCAGUCUGGAGUGACAGUAUCAGGUGUAAUUUAUAACCAUUGGUUGGAAUCCCAAUUUCUUGUGAUUAUAAAAAUGAAUCAUUGCCUCUCCUUCCUUACCUGUUCAGCCCACUGUAGAGGGGUAUUGGGGUCUAUAAUUCCUGCAUUCGGCUUAUUUUCCUCUUUAAAAAGUUUGUGAGUACGAGAAUAACAAGUGUUUAUUGUUUGAAAGCUUGGAUGAAGAUGAGAGUCAGCAAAGCCUCCAGAAAGUGAGACAUAGCAGAUCCAUGUGGUGGGAUGGGGGCCCAGGGAGCCCCCUCACUCCAGGCAAUUCUGUCCUUCUUGUAGACCUGAGGCAGGGAACAGCUUUCAAAAGAAAUUCUCCAGAGGAGUCUUCCAGGGGCUCUGUUUGUGGUCUCUGUGGUGAUACAAAGGAUUUGUAUACAGUGGCUUCCUUCCCUCUGCUUCACUUUCCCUACACCCUAAAUAAACUUAGAAACCCCUCCUUCCUCUCGAUCAAUUAUCCAUUUUAUUCUCAAAACCAAACAGCGUUUGCUAUUAAUAAAACUGAUCAGAGAAUAUGGCCUAAUUGUGAAGCCAAGAGGGUUUUCAACUGCACCCACUUCCUCAUCACCCUGUAUCUCAAACCUGCCCCUCAUUCUUAACUCAUGAAGUACAAUCAAUUUUAGACAAGAACCCUAUGCAACGGGGUAGCCAAGAAGCAAGUCUCAAUAAAUAAAUAGUGCUAUUUUUAAAAACAAAUAAUAAUUCAUCUCUGGCUGAAUUAAAGGUUCUCUCAUUUCUCCUACUA